RNAcentral lists this long non-coding RNA (222 nucleotides) under Elaeis guineensis (African oil palm). Its description in RNAcentral is "long non-coding RNA (EGUI_LNC003397)". Lineage: Eukaryota; Viridiplantae; Streptophyta; Magnoliopsida; Arecales; Arecaceae. The record is from RNAcentral.
UGGUAGGUCAAACAUGAUGCUACACCCCAGUUCGAAACGAACCCAGUACAUAUAUUAUGUUUCUUGCAUGGCCAAUUUGUUAUAAUACCGUCCAUGCUUUAACCAUAUAAUUAAAGUCAUAAUCUAAUUUUCGGUAUUAGAAUAGUUAUAUUUAUGCACUAGCCCAUGGUAAGUCAAACACAAUGUUGCACUUCAGUCUGAGGUUAACCCAACAUAUACACC